GACGAACGCUGGCGGCGUGCUUAACACAUGCAAGUCGAACGGAAAGGCCCCUUUGGGGGUACUCGAGUGGCGAACGGGUGAGUAACACGUGAGUAACCUGCCCUUGACUUCGGGAUAACUUCAGGAAACUGGGGCUAAUACCGGAUAGGAAUCCUUGCUGCAUGGUGGGGGUUGGAAAGCUUCGGCGGUUUUGGAUGGACUCGCGGCUUAUCAGCUUGUUGGUGGGGUAGUGGCUUACCAAGGCUUUGACGGGUAGCCGGCCUGAGAGGGCGACCGGCCACAUUGGGACUGAGAUACGGCCCAGACUCCUACGGGAGGCAGCAGUGGGGAAUAUUGCACAAUGGGCGGAAGCCUGAUGCAGCAACGCCGCGUGCGGGAUGACGGCCUUCGGGUUGUAAACCGCUUUCAGCAGGGGCGAAGCUUGUGGUGACGGUACCUGCAGAAGAAGCACAGGCUAACUACGUG
Molecule: ribosomal RNA, 465 nt
Filed under: uncultured bacterium
Lineage: Bacteria
Description: partial 16S ribosomal RNA
Rfam family: Bacterial small subunit ribosomal RNA
Source: RNAcentral